GAAGAGCGAGGCAGAAUCCAAUUCCUUGUUGAUUUUCCCCAAUUCGAGGAGGACUGAAAACCCUAGAAUUCAUAAAAUUAGACGAGGAAAAGAAGAUGAUGCGGUUCCUAGGCAACAAUGUUGCUAAGGUAAUCUCGAAAAAUAUUGUCUUUGUGUUGUUUGUCUCAAAAAUCUUGUCGCCGUUGUUGGUCAUUGAAAUUGAAGGAACCAAUUUGCAGAUUUGUCGGCUGCAGAAUCGUAAUAUUUCAUCUGCCACUGUGACUGCCACCAUCGACGAUGCCCCUAAGUAUUUGUGUAGAGCUGUGGUGGUUGGGUAUCAGCAGUUCAGCACCCGCCUCAAAGUUUCUUCAGGAAACUGAAGAGGCGCAACUCCGAAUCAAGCGAUUGUUGGAUAAACACGAAGCCGGAUUUGAGGCACCCAUGAAAUGAUAUUUUAUGUAGGAGUCUAAAAAACAAAUAUGAUUGGAUUUUGCUACUUUACGAUAAUUAUUAGUAAAUGCAAAUAUUCAAUCACGUUGAUAUUCAAA
Molecule: long non-coding RNA, 527 nt
Organism: Arabidopsis lyrata subsp. lyrata
Lineage: Eukaryota; Viridiplantae; Streptophyta; Magnoliopsida; Brassicales; Brassicaceae
Exons: 4
Source: RefSeq, a predicted model, not a curated record